This 807-nucleotide ribosomal RNA is filed under the name unidentified microorganism. RNAcentral describes it as "bacterial SSU rRNA". It matches the Rfam family "Bacterial small subunit ribosomal RNA", at positions 52 to 853 of the family's 1533-position model. The record is from RNAcentral.
CACAUGCAAGUCGAGCGGAACGAUGAUAGCUUGCUAUCAGGCGUCGAGCGGCGGACGGGUGAGUAAUACUUAGGAAUCUACCUAGUAGUGGGGGAUAGCUCGGGGAAACUCGAAUUAAUACCGCAUACGACCUACGGGAGAAAGGGGGCAACUUGUUGCUCUCGCUAUUAGAUGAGCCUAAGUCGGAUUAGCUAGAUGGUGGGGUAAAGGCCUACCAUGGCGACGAUCUGUAGCUGGUCUGAGAGGAUGAUCAGCCACACCGGGACUGAGACACGGCCCGGACUCCUACGGGAGGCAGCAGUGGGGAAUAUUGGACAAUGGGGGCAACCCUGAUCCAGCCAUGCCGCGUGUGUGAAGAAGGCCUUUUGGUUGUAAAGCACUUUAAGCAGUGAAGAAGACUCCAUGGUUAAUACCCAUGGACGAUGACAUUAGCUGCAGAAUAAGCACCGGCUAACUCUGUGCCAGCAGCCGCGGUAAUACAGAGGGUGCAAGCGUUAAUCGGAAUUACUGGGCGUAAAGCGAGCGUAGGUGGCUUGAUAAGUCAGAUGUGAAAUCCCCGGGCUUAACCUGGGAACUGCAUCUGAUACUGUUAGGCUAGAAUAGGUGAGAGGAAGGUAGAAUUCCAGGUGUAGCGGUGAAAUGCGUAGAGAUCUGGAGGAAUACCGAUGGCGAAGGCAGCCUUCUGGCAUCAUAUUGACACUGAGGUUCGAAAGCGUGGGUAGCAAACAGGAUUAGAUACCCUGGUAGUCCACGCCGUAAACGAUGUCUACUAGUCGUUGGGUCCCUUGAGGACUUAGUGACGCAGCU